ACCUACGGGGGGCAGCAGUGGGGAAUAUUGCACAAUGGGGGAAACCCUGAUGCAGCAACGCCGCGUGAGUGAAGAAGUCAUUCGUGAUGUAAAGCUCUAUCAGCAGGGAAGAAAAUGACGGUACCUGACCAAGAAGCCCCGGCUAACUACGUGCCAGCAGCCGCGGUAAUACGUAGGGGGCAAGCGUUAUCCGGAUUUACUGGGUGUAAAGGGAGCGUAGACGGCCGUGCAAGUUUGAUGUGAAAACCCGGGGCUCAACCCCGGGACUGCAUUGGAAACUGCAUGGCUGGAGUGUCGGAGAGGCA
RNAcentral lists this ribosomal RNA (305 nucleotides) under uncultured bacterium. RNAcentral describes it as "bacterial SSU rRNA". It matches the Rfam family "Bacterial small subunit ribosomal RNA", at positions 337 to 659 of the family's 1533-position model. The record is from RNAcentral.